GAUGAACGCUGGCGGCGUGCCUAAUACAUGCAAGUCGAGCGAACAGAUGAGGAGCUUGCUCCUCUGACGUUAGCGGCGGACGGGUGAGUAACACGUGGAUAACCUACCUAUAAGACUGGGAUAACUUCGGGAAACCGGAGCUAAUACCGGAUAAUAUAUUGAACCGCAUGGUUCAAUAGUGAAAGACGGUUUUGCUGUCACUUCUAGAUGGAUCCGCGCCGCAUUAGCUAGUUGGUAAGGUAACGGCUUACCAAGGCAACGAUGCGUAACCGACCUGAGAGGGUGAUCGGCGACACUGGAACGGAGACACGGUCCAGACUCCUACGGGAGGCAGCAGUAGGGAAUCGUACGCAACGGGCGAAAGCCUGACGGAGCAACGCCGAGUGAGUGAUGAAGGUCUUCGGAUCGUAAAACUCUGUUAUUAGGGAAGAACAAAUGUGUAAGUAACUAUGCACGUCUUGACGGUACCUAAUCAGAAAGCAACGGCUAACUACGUG
This 497-nucleotide ribosomal RNA is filed under the name uncultured bacterium. RNAcentral's name for it is "partial 16S ribosomal RNA". It matches the Rfam family "Bacterial small subunit ribosomal RNA", at positions 28 to 507 of the family's 1533-position model. The record is from RNAcentral.